This is a non-coding RNA of Caerostris extrusa, 75 nucleotides long. The record is from the annotation of a GenBank genome assembly. NCBI's taxonomy places the organism in Eukaryota, Metazoa, Arthropoda, Arachnida, Araneae, Araneidae.
CCGUCGAUAGCUACAGUUGGCAGAGCGGUGGACUGUAGAUCCAUAGGUCGAUGGUCUCGACUCCGGCUCGACGGA